GGGUUUGUAGCUCAUUGGUAGAGUACUUGCCUAGCAUGUGUGAGGCACUGAGUUCGAUCCUCAGCACCA
RNAcentral lists this transfer RNA (69 nucleotides) under Ictidomys tridecemlineatus (thirteen-lined ground squirrel). RNAcentral describes it as "Spermophilus tridecemlineatus (thirteen-lined ground squirrel) tRNA". It matches the Rfam family "tRNA". From Rfam's summary of the family: Transfer RNA (tRNA) molecules are approximately 80 nucleotides in length. Lineage: Eukaryota; Metazoa; Chordata; Mammalia; Rodentia; Sciuridae. The record is from Rfam by way of RNAcentral.